GGCAGCAGUCGGGAAUUUUGGGCAAUGGGCGAAAGCCUGACCCAGCAACGCCGCGUGAAGGAUGAAGUAUUUCGGUAUGUAAACUUCGAAAGAAUGGGAAGAAUAAAUGACGGUACCAUUUAUAAGGUCCGGCUAACUACGUGCCAGCAGCCGCGGUAAAACGUAGGGACCAAGCGUUGUUCGGAUUUACUGGGCGUAAAGGGCGCGUAGGCGGCAAAUCAAGUCAGCUGUGAAAUCUCCGAGCUUAACUCGGAACGGUCAGCUGAUACUGUUUUGCUAGAGUGCAGAAGGGGCAAUCGGAAUUCUUGGUGUAGCGGUGAAAUGCGUAGAUAUCAAGAGGAACACCUGAGGUGAAGACGGGUUGCUGGGCUGACACUGACGCUGAGGCGCGAAAGCUAGGGUAGCAAACGGGAUUAGAUACCCCGGUAGUCCUAGCCCUAAACGAUGAAUACUUGGUGUCUGGAGUAAUUUAAUUCUCCGGGUGCCGUCGCUAACGUUUUAAGUAUUCCGCCUGGGGAGUACGCACGCAAGUGUGAAACUCAAAGGAAU
Molecule: ribosomal RNA, 549 nt
Filed under: uncultured bacterium
Lineage: Bacteria
Description: bacterial SSU rRNA
Rfam family: Bacterial small subunit ribosomal RNA
Source: RNAcentral